This is a long non-coding RNA of Rosa chinensis, 923 nucleotides long. RefSeq lists it as uncharacterized. The record is from RefSeq and is a predicted model, not a curated record. The transcript is spliced from 2 exons. Lineage: Eukaryota; Viridiplantae; Streptophyta; Magnoliopsida; Rosales; Rosaceae.
GACGGGGAAUCCCCAGUUUCUUAUUACGGGGAUUGGGGCGGGUAAGGGGAUGAGGAAUGAAGUCGGAUAUGAGGAUGAUAAUUUAAUCCCCUUACCCUACCCUCCCCAUUGCCAUCCCUAUUCUUGGAUUGCUAGUGAUUAUGAUAAUUUACAUUAAUCAAUUGUUUCAAGGCUUUUGGCGUCAUCGGCGUGCGACGAGUGUAGCCGAACGACCUAAAUCUACACGCUUUCUCUUUUGUGUUCUUUCUCAUCUGGCUGGGCCUCCGUGCCGGUGUUGGACCUUUGGCUUCAUCUGCGUGCGACGAGUGUAACCGGUCAUGACUCAUGUUUCUCACAUGCUCAAUGGCUUGGAUUGAUUUGGGUGGGCUUGGUCCAAAAGAGGAAGAUGGCAACGCAGUGAUGGAAAAUGGAUCAUUUGCCUUAUUGGUUGGGUCUAUGAGCGAUGGUCAUGUGGUGGUGGCUUGGCGGAGGGGAGAGAUCAGAAGAGGAUGGAUCUCUGAUGUGGAGAUCGAAAUUUUUGCAGGGAAGGGAUGAAAGCGGCUUGGGGUCAACGAGGGCUGUGACCUUAUUUGAGAAGAUUGGUAUUGGCAUGACACCACUAUCUCCCACACAAAGAUCAGAUCCUGGGAAAAAAGGUGGCGACGGGUUCGACUGUGGCUUUAGUGGUUGUGCAACUAUUGCGCCUACCCAACGAGAGUGGCAGUGCAACAAGGAUGGUGACUCACGGGUUGCCUUGGAUUUCGAUUGGAUGACCUCACUCAUAUUAGGCCAGGAUCCAAUCAUUGGGCUUUGGUCUGAUUGAUGGUUUCUUUUUUCUUUUUAUCUUUUUUUUUUUCCUUUUUUUUAAUCAGUUCGUUUUGCUUGAUUAGUUUUUAGUUGUUUAUUGUUUUCAAUACUUACCUACAAACGCAUCAUCAUAUUCA